Juglans regia (Persian walnut) is the source of this 2218-nucleotide RNA transcript. It is a transcript of the gene named DExH-box ATP-dependent RNA helicase DExH16, mitochondrial, with no coding region annotated. The record is from RefSeq and is a predicted model, not a curated record. The transcript is spliced from 17 exons. NCBI's taxonomy places the organism in Eukaryota, Viridiplantae, Streptophyta, Magnoliopsida, Fagales, Juglandaceae.
CCCAUCCUCUCCGACUGUCGCCCCCAAAAUAUGGCGCUAGAAGCGAAGUCUACGAACCCUGAGAGAGCGGAGUGAGGGGGCACCGCUUGUUUCCCCUGGAGCACGAUGUCUUACAUUAACCCCUAUUUCUCAUACUUGGGUUCCCUCUGAAAUUAUUGUCUCCAAAAAAGAAAGAAAAAGACUUUUCAAGUCCGGAAACAAUGGCCUCGUUUUUACUUCGUCGAAGAGUUUUGUCUCUGGGCGUUUCUCGCACUCUCCGCGGAAAUAUGGAGCCCAUUUGGCUGCCCAUGGAAUUGAGGAUUGCAGCUUUAGCUACCAUUUCUGAUACAACGAGAAAGUACAGCGGUUGCACUGGUACCACAAAGUUUGACUUUACAGAUCUCACUCGUCCUCAUACAUGGUACCCAAAUGCUCGAAGGAAACAUCGCAAGGUUAUCCUGCAUAUGGGUCCCACAAAUAGUGGUAAAACAUACCAUGCUUUGAAGCAACUUGAGUCAAGUUCGUCUGGCAUAUACUGUGGUCCAUUGAGAUUGUUGGCGUGGGAGGUGGCAAAACGGUUGAACAAGGCAAAAGUUCCUUGUGAUCUCAUUACAGGACAAGAGAGAGAGGAAGUUGAUGGUGCAAAGCACAAGGCCGUGACAGUUGAGAUGGCCAGUGUAACCUCGGACUACCAUUGUGCUGUUAUUGAUGAAAUUCAGAUGUUGGGGUGUAGGACAAGGGGUUUUUCAUUUACUCGUGCUCUAUUAGGAGUCUCUGCUGAUGAGCUUCACCUUUGUGGAGAUGCAGCCGCUAUUCCUCUUAUCCUGGAAAUACUGAAAGUGACUGGUGAUGAGGUUGAGGUUGAAUUUUAUGAGAGACUUUCACCUCUAGUUCCGUCUAAGAUUCCUCUUGGAUCCUUCUCUCAAAUCCAAACAGGCGAUUGUAUUGUAACCUUUUCACGUCAAGAGAUAUACAGACUAAAGAGGGAAAUUGAAAAUGGGGGAAAGCAUCUUUGUUCUGUAGUUUAUGGCUCACUGCCACCAGAGACUCGAACUAGACAGGCAACAAUGUUCAAUGAUGCAAGCAGUGACUUUGAUGUUCUUGUGGCUAGUGAUGCCAUUGGGAUGGGUCUCAAUCUGAACAUUUCCAGGAUCAUAUUUUCAACUAUGAAGAAGUUCGAUGGUUUUGAAAUGCGGGAUCUUACUGUACCUGAAAUCAAGCAAAUUGCAGGGAGAGCUGGCCGGUAUGGAUCAAAAUUUCCUGUUGGUGAAGUGACUUGUAUAGAUGCAGAGGAUCUACCCUUACUUCAUUCUUCACUCGAAUCCCCUUCGCCCACUCUAGAGCGUGCUGGAUUAUUCCCUACCUUCGAUCUCAUGUUUAUGUAUUCACGUGUACACCAAACAAAUGGUCUCCAUGGGAUAUUGGAGCAUUUUCUGGACAACGCAAAAUUAUCUGAAAAUUAUUUUAUUGCUGAUUGUGAAGGGACAUUGAAAGUUGCUGCUGUUAUUGAUGAGUUGCCCCUGGGGUUGCAUGAUAAGUAUCUGUUUUGCAUCAGUCCAGUUGACAUGGAUGAUGAUAUUUCAUCUCAAGGCCUCACACAGUUUGCACAAAAUUAUGCAAACAAAGGCAUAGUUCGGCUGCGAGAAAUAUUUACACCAGGAACACUGAAAGUGCCAAAAACACAAGCUGCUCUCAAGGAGCUUGAAUCCAUACACAAGGCAUUGCACGACAGAAAAAAGGUGGGGCACAUCUCGUCUGUCUGGAAAUAAUCAGAUAAUGUGUUGGAUCUCUAUGUUUGGUUGAGCUUCCGAUUGGAGGAUUCCUUCCCAGAUCGUGAUGUGGCAUCAUCACAGAAAGCCAUUUGCAGUCUGUUGAUCGAGGAGUUCCUGGAAAGACUAGGGUGGCAGAAGCCGAGGGCAAGGAGGUUACCGUCACGUAGAAGCUUAGGGUCUCUGCUAUCCAAAGACAUCAGGCCAUACUUGUGAGACAGUUCUGAUUUUCGCCAUGCAACCAUUCCUUCUCUUAGAUCUUCGACAGCUUUUAGGAUAAAGAAGUUCAACAGCUGAAAACUCCAGCUUUUCAAGAAAGUUCCUUUACUUCGUCCAUUGUUCUUUAAUUCAAUCAAUUGCUCUGGCAAUCAUUAUACUAUUUGUCAAACAGUAAAUGUAAAAAUCUGGUGAGAGUAAUGUGAUAUAAAUUGAUGGAAUUGUUAUUUAAUAAUGCUACUUUGGCCUCUCAU